CCUACGGGUGGCAGCAGUAGGGAAUCUUCCACAAUGGGCGAAAGCCUGAUGGAGCAACGCCGCGUGGGUGAAGAAGGUCUUCGGAUCGUAAAACUCUGUUGUCAGAGAAGAAAGUGCGUGAGAGUAACUGUUCACGUUUCGACGGUAUCUAACCAGAAAGCCACGGCUAACUACGUGCCAGCAGCCGCGGUAAUACGUAGGUGGCAAGCGUUAUCCGGAUUUAUUGGGCGUAAAGGGAACGCAGGCGGUCUUGUAAGUCUGAUGUGAAAGCCUUCGGCUUAACCGGAGUAGUGCAUGGGAUACUGGGAGACUUGAGUGCAAAAGAGGAGAGUAGAACUCCAUGUGUAGCGGUGAAAUGCGUAGAUAUAUGGAGGAAUACCAGUGGCGAAGGCGGCUCUCUGGUCUGUAACUGACGCUGAGGUGCGAAAGCGUGGGUAGCAAACAGGAUUAGAUACCCGAGUAGUC
This 465-nucleotide ribosomal RNA is filed under the name uncultured bacterium. RNAcentral describes it as "partial 16S ribosomal RNA". It matches the Rfam family "Bacterial small subunit ribosomal RNA", at positions 338 to 795 of the family's 1533-position model. The record is from RNAcentral.